CAGCCGCCACGGUAAUACGAAGGGGGCUAGCGUUGCUCGGAAUCACUGGGCGUAAAGGGUGCGUAGGCGGGUCUUUAAGUCAGGGGUGAAAUCCUGGAGCUCAACUCCAGAACUGCCUUUGAUACUGAAGAUCUUGAGUUCGGGAGAGGUGAGUGGAACUGCGAGUGUAGAGGUGAAAUUCGUAGAUAUUCGCAAGAACACCAGUGGCGGAGGCGGCUCACUGGCCCGAUACUGACGCUGAGGCACGAAAGCGUGGGGAGCAAACAGGAUUAGAUACCCCCGUAGUCCCUGUCUCUUAUAC
This 301-nucleotide ribosomal RNA is filed under the name uncultured bacterium. RNAcentral's name for it is "partial 16S ribosomal RNA". It matches the Rfam family "Bacterial small subunit ribosomal RNA", at positions 509 to 807 of the family's 1533-position model. The record is from RNAcentral.